GAUGAACGCUGGCGGCAUGCCUAAUACAUGCAAGUCGGACGAGGAUGUUUCUACAUCCUAGUGGCGAACGGGUGAGUAACACGUAGGGAACCUGCCCCUAAGACGAGGAUAACUACUGGAAACGGUAGCUAAUACUGGAUAGGAUAAGUUGACGCAUGUUGGCUUAUUUAAAGGUGCCUAUAAAGCACCGCUUAGGGAUGGCCCUGCGGCGCAUUAGCUAGUUGGUGGGGUAACGGCCUGCCAAGGCGACGAUGCGUAGCUGUGCUGAGAGGCAGAACAGCCACACUGGGACUGAGACACGGCCCAGACUCCUACGGGAGGCAGCAGUAGGGAAUUUUCGGCAAUGGGGGAACCCUGACCGAGCGAUGCCGCGUGAGUGAUGAAGGUCUUCGGACUGUAAAACUCUGUUAUUAGGGAAGAAUACUAUAGGGAGGAAAGUGCCUUAUAGAUGACGGUACCUAAUGAGGAAGCCCCGGCCAACUAUGUGCCAGCACG
Molecule: ribosomal RNA, 495 nt
Filed under: uncultured bacterium
Lineage: Bacteria
Description: bacterial SSU rRNA
Rfam family: Bacterial small subunit ribosomal RNA
Source: RNAcentral